Molecule: ribosomal RNA, 210 nt
Filed under: uncultured bacterium
Lineage: Bacteria
Description: partial 16S ribosomal RNA
Rfam family: Bacterial small subunit ribosomal RNA
Source: RNAcentral
UCGGAUUGUAGGCUGAAACUCGCCUACAUGAAGCUGGAGUUGCUAGUAAUCGCGAAUCAGCAUGUCGCGGUGAAUACGUUCCCGGGCCUUGUACACACCGCCCGUCACACCAUGAGAGUUGGCAAUACCCAACGUACGUGAUCUAACCCGCAAGGGAGGAAGCGUCCUAAGGUAGGGUCAGCGAUUGGGGUGAAGUCGUAACAAGGUACC